RNAcentral lists this ribosomal RNA (342 nucleotides) under uncultured Pseudomonadota bacterium. RNAcentral describes it as "bacterial SSU rRNA". It matches the Rfam family "Bacterial small subunit ribosomal RNA", at positions 29 to 351 of the family's 1533-position model. The record is from RNAcentral. Lineage: Bacteria; Pseudomonadati; Pseudomonadota.
AACGAACGCUGGCGGCGUGCCUAACACAUGCAAGUCGAACGAGAAACCCCGGGCUUGCUCGGGGGAGUAAAGUGGCGCACGGGUGAGUAACACGUGGGUAACCUGCCCCAAGGACGGGGAUAACUGGCCGAAAGGCCCGCUAAUACCGGAUAAGACCACAUGAGCUUCGGCUCAAGGGGUUAAAGUCGGCCUCUCGAAGAAGCCGGCACCAUGGGAUGGGCCCGCGGACCAUUAGCUUGUUGGUAGGGUAACGGCCUACCAAGGCUGAGAUGGUUAGCUGGUCUGAGAGGAUGAUCAGCCACACUGGAACUGAGAUACGGUCCAGACUCCUACGGGUGGCAG